UGCACAAGAAGAGGUGUGAGAAGAGAGGGGGAAAACUGAGAUAUGGAGGCAAACAGCAUGAUUAUMAUAUCAUCAUCAUUAUCCGAGUGUUUAGGCAUAUAUUCGGCAAACAAUCACACAUGGCGUCUUCUAUUAUUCAAGCGUUAGCACAUACAUGAAACCAAAUGACCACAGUGUAACUCAAGCGUCAGCUGUAAGAGUGCAAACUCUUGACACUACUUUUCAUUUGAACUUCUAAUUGUUAAAUUGCACAAUCAUCAAGCUCAAUCAGCUGUUGCCUAGCAACUGCAGUCUGGACCGACAGGAGGAGGGGAGCAGCGACAAAAAAAAAGGAAAAGAGGAAAAAGGAAAAAGGAGGGCCAGACAAAGAGUGAGGACAUCAGAAGAGAGGUGCUGGCGAUUGUGAAGUUUUCCCAGACGACGCUGAUYGUGAAACAAGAGUGCAGCGUCCUUCAGAUGGCAUUUACACCAACAACAGUUGACUGGGAGAGCAACACAAUGAAGAGGAGCAGAAAGAAAGAAACAGCAUUGCAAACAGUGAAUGAGGAAUAGAUGGAGGGACGGAGGGAGUGACUUCAUGUUGGUAUUUAGGUCUUAAAUGGUUAAAUGUCCAUGACAUAAGGGUUUUGGAGAAUCACAACCAGAUCUGCUAAAAAAGUAAAGAAUAAAAGUUUGUAUUUUAUAAUCUA
Austrofundulus limnaeus is the source of this 689-nucleotide long non-coding RNA. RefSeq lists it as uncharacterized. The record is from RefSeq and is a predicted model, not a curated record. NCBI's taxonomy places the organism in Eukaryota, Metazoa, Chordata, Actinopteri, Cyprinodontiformes, Rivulidae. The transcript is spliced from 2 exons.